UACGAAGGGGGCUAGCGUUGCUCGGAAUGACUGGGCGUAAAGGGCGCGUAGGCGGCCUGUUAAGUCGAACGUGAAAUCCCCGGGCUCAACCCGGGAACUGCGUCCGAUACUGGCAGGCUUGAAUUCGGGAGAGGGAUGUGGAAUUCCAGGUGUAGCGGUGAAAUGCGUAGAUAUCUGGAGGAACACCGGUGGCGAAGGCGGCAUCCUGGACCGAUAUUGACGCUGAUGCGCGAAAGCCAGGGGAGCAAACGGG
This 253-nucleotide ribosomal RNA is filed under the name uncultured bacterium. RNAcentral describes it as "partial 16S ribosomal RNA". It matches the Rfam family "Bacterial small subunit ribosomal RNA", at positions 524 to 776 of the family's 1533-position model. The record is from RNAcentral.